GUGCAGCAGGCGCGCAACCUUUACAAUGCACGAAAGUGUGAUAAGGGUAAUCCAAGUGCUCAUACAUUGUAUGGGCUUUUGCCAAGUGUAAAUAACUUGGCGAAUAAGGGGUGGGUAAGACUGGUGCCAGCCGCCGCGGUAACACCAGCGCCCCGAGUGGGAGCCGUUUUUAUUGGGCCUAAAGCGUCCGUAGCAGGUCAUGCAAAUCUCUCGUGAAAUUGUCGGGCUUAACUUGACAACGUGCGGGAAACACUACAUGACUCGGGACCGGGAGGAGUGAGAGGUAUUCUGGGGGGAGCGGUAAAAUGCUAUAAUCCUCGGAGGACCACCGAUGGCGAAGGCAUCUCACCAGAACGGAUCCGACUGUGAGGGACGAAAGUCAGGGGAGCAAACCGGAUUAGAUACCCGAGUAGUCCUGACCGUAAACGCUGCGAGCUAGGUGUUACGUAAACUUCGUGUUUGCGUAGUAUCGAAGCGAAGGCGAUAAGCUCGCCGCCUGGGAAGUAUGGUCGCAAGGCUGAAACUUAAAGGAAUAGGCGGGGGAGCACUACAAGGGGUGCGGCGUGCGGUUUAAUCUAACUCAACACAGAGAAUCUCACCAGGAGCGACGGCAGGAUGAAAGUCAGAUUAAAGGUUUUACUUGACGAGCCGAGAGGAAGUGCAUGGCC
RNAcentral lists this ribosomal RNA (668 nucleotides) under uncultured archaeon. RNAcentral's name for it is "bacterial SSU rRNA". It matches the Rfam family "Archaeal small subunit ribosomal RNA", at positions 330 to 999 of the family's 1478-position model. The record is from RNAcentral.